RNAcentral lists this transfer RNA (68 nucleotides) under Gerygone igata. RNAcentral's name for it is "tRNA-Phe". It matches the Rfam family "tRNA". From Rfam's summary of the family: Transfer RNA (tRNA) molecules are approximately 80 nucleotides in length. Their secondary structure includes four short double-helical elements and three loops (D, anti-codon, and T loops). Further hydrogen bonds mediate the characteristic L-shaped molecular structure. tRNAs have two regions of fundamental functional importance: the anti-codon, which is responsible for specific mRNA codon recognition, and the 3' end, to which the tRNAs corresponding amino acid is attached (by aminoacyl-tRNA synthetases). tRNAs cope with the degeneracy of the genetic code in two manners: having more than one tRNA (with a specific anti-codon) for a particular amino acid; and 'wobble' base-pairing, i.e. permitting non-standard base-pairing at the 3rd anti-codon position. The record is from RNAcentral. Lineage: Eukaryota; Metazoa; Chordata; Aves; Passeriformes; Acanthizidae.
GUCCUCGUAGCUUAAAAAAAGCAUGACACUGAAGAUGUCAAGAUGGCUGCUAAACACACCCAAGGACA